UCUACAACCUGUCGAACGGACAGACAUUUUACUCAUUACAUUACUCAUGGUCAAACUUCACGUAUGUACACGUCACAGUUUUAUAGGGAAGACCCUCCACCUCCCAAAGGUAUCGACAUGUAUGUGGGAAAAUUACCACGUGAUCUUUUCGAAGAUGAAUUGAAUCGAAUCUUCUCUACAAUCGGAACUUCAAGGUGAAACGGAAAGGUUAUCCUAAUGCGUAACCAAAGUCAUCGUUUUCAGUUACAUCAGAGAUAAAACUGAAAAUCGCGGUUUUGCAUUUGUCGAGUACGUUAAUCAUCGUGCAGCUUCCAAGAUUCGUAGAAAGUUGAUACCUAACCGCAUUUUAUUGUGGGGAACAGAGAUAGCUGUCGACUGGAUCGAGUAGGGAAAUGAAAUCGAUGAAGACGUCAUGUCGCAGGUUACGUUCUUGUACGUCUGCAACUUGUCGCUGACAACUACAGAACAAGUUCUUCGUGAAAAUUUAACUACACCUUUAAUGACAGUAUGUAGAAGCUUCAAAUGAUGCGUGAUUUUGCAUUUAUCCAUUUUCUAUCUCGAGAAAAGGCUUAUAAAGCCAUGCGCAUCAUAACUAAAAAUUUUGUUUCGUUCAAGAUUCGCCAUCUUUUAUGCCGAACUAUUACAAUAGUAGUCAACAUUCGAGUACAACGACGCGUGCACGAUUGUCCCACGUCUUCCGACAGGUAGUUGAUCUGGCUUGGCUUAACCUGUUUAUCUUUUAUAUUGCUUUUUUGGCUUUUAUAUGUAUUUAGCGCAUAUUUGUUAGUAGAGGUGUGAGUAAAGAGAGUUAGUAAUUUUGUUAACAUAUUAAGCCAGAUAUGGGGGCACAUCAGGUAUAAACUUUCUUCGAUUGUCGAUCAUAUUAGCCUACAUAGCGUAAUAGGAUAAUAGAAUCCUACACUCCCAUGAUUUUUUUUAUGCGGUUCGAUAAGUAGCUCAUCGAACGGCAGGUUCAAAAUUUUUUGGUUGUAUUGAACGAGUAAAAUGUAUUGACUUCUGGAGAACAAUGGACGGGGCUUUCCAUUUUCCGUCUAAUUGGAGCCGCCCAUCUCGACUCACGCGCCAUGAGUGGGAUUCAACAAGUCCGCUACGAAUUUCCAAGGGUUUCGCUCUUUUGGACCGCGGCAAGCGGUGCUCUUCGAUCGGUAAUAAUUUACUUUUAGUUGAUUUUAGGAAAAAGACGAAAGCUUUUGACGAGGCUAAAUAAAAAUUUUUAUGGGUCCUGCGAAGCCUCUCGACAUUUCACGCUCCACUACGCCGUCGGUGACUGACUCAGUACCCAGGAGAUCGGGUGUCGGCCAUCGUGUUUUCACUGACGCCGACGAAAGGGAAGUAACGGAAGUUUGACGCUUUUUGUUGAUACGACGUCUACGUUUAUGAAAACAUGUCUGGACUACUACGGACACCAAUUCGAAUUAAUUAAGCAACCUGUGCCUGGAAUCUUGAUUGGGAUUUGGCCAUCAAUCAACUUUCGCAAUAUUUCGGCAUCGACCUUAUUCUCAAGUAUGCGGCGGGCCGGCGGCCACUUUUUCUUUUGGCGCUUCUUUUCUUUCUUUUCAUAGAUGGAUGGCAUUGCACUACAAGCAUUGUUUUGUCUGUUGUUGCUUGACAUGCACGUUGACCGCGACCCGCAAUAGCCGGUCACGCCUGUCAAAUACGCCCGCCUGCAUGUAAUCCGAGAUCCCCAAACAACUUUCUAUCGAAAAGUACGACAACAAAACUUUCGGAGCACGAGAACAAAGGCUAUGUUCACCAGCAGUCCGACCAUGAUUUUUGUCGAAGACUAUCUGUGCAAUUUUAUCUAGAACACCUGGAGUUUCCAGAGCAAGGAUCAUAACAAACUCAUCAUGUUUUUUUUGUUUUUUUUUUCUUUCAAUCUGGCAAUUUGAUUUGACACUCUUACUUCCGGUGGAGUUCCGGUGCAAAAUUAAACGUGAUUAUAGAUUGGAAAUUUGUAACACUAGAUGGCGAAUGGUAUAUUGUUGUCGUUUUAAUGGUAUAGAUUGGAAAUUUGUAACACUAGAUGGCGAAUGGUAUAUUGUUGUCGUUUUAAUGGCGCUCAUGGCGAACAACAAAUGUCGAAAGUUAUGUUUACUUUUUGUUAAGUUCUUAGUUUAUACGGACCAAAUUUAAAAUUAUGUGUAAGUAAAUCUGUAACUGUUUUUAGUCUAACCGGCAAAGUUUAUGGCUUACAUUUAUCUCUUAGUCUACUUUUCCUAUUUCUAGUCUACCUUUUUCCUGUUGUCCCAUCAAGGUAAAUUAUCAACUAAAAAAUCGUCGACAUUCAGCUUCAUGCCGAUGACGGAUAGAGCAAAGAAAUGGACAGCUUUAUGACUUGGUGCAGACAUCUCACAUAGGACCAACUUUCUGACAUAAUGACUCUCCUGUCAUUUGGGGAUCCAGCCAAGAACACCAUAACUCUUCAGCCAAAUAUUCCGAGUACAUCAAAUGAGAUCCCUGUCGACUCACCAUUUCAUAUCGGACGCCACUCCGCUCCCGUCAAUCUGGAAACAACAUUCUGACGAGGAUUCGGUCGUAUGAUGUCGGUCGUUUUGACGUCGUCUACUGCGAGGAGAGGCUGCUCGAUGUUAUCCACUUAGUGAGCCGAAACGGCAGAUCCAUCGUUUUCACUGCCGUUUUGACUCUCAUCCCAGUCUACAUGUUUUCCAUAAUCGGGUAUCACGUUCAGUUUCACGCCAAAUUGUUAUUAUAUCUUCAACAUGGUGGCUUACAUUAAUUACAAUUUUCCUACUCUUCGUUUCGUUAGUAUGUGUGCAAUUGGUGGAUUUUCCAUUCCUUGUGCUUUCAACUCUCGACAAAGCAUCCACCGAUAACAACGCUAGGUCAGACCAUUUCUAUAGAAACUUGUGCUGGACUCGGCAAGUUUAGUUCACCAGUCUUCUGUCUUCUUUGGGCCCAGGUGUGGCAGCAGAGAGUUGAAGACAAAAAAUGAUUGUCAUUUUCUUCAAAGCGCAGUUGCUUUGUGAAAAGUUACUGCACUCUGUUUGUUUGUUGGUUAUGACUUAUGAUAACUUUUUUAUAGUUAUAGUUAAUUCUUGAUUCUUAAUCAUAGGUUAAUCUUGUCUUGUCUUUUAGAACACAGCACAUGGUCACAUGUAGCUAUUAAUCAAAGGCACUUGCUACCAGAAUUCUCCAUGAACGGUAAUUCUUUAAUAACAUUGGUCUUCAAUCUUCAGUAAGGGGUUAUUAGUUUUACAGUAAUUAAGGUUUCUUAAAUUAGUCAAUCUCUAAAACAGAUUCCAUUAAUUGUUUGGAAUGUUAAAUUACUUUACUGUUAUUGAUCCAGUAGGCUAAAUCCAGUAAAAUUAUAAUUUCACACAAGUUUUACAAAAUGUUCUAAAGGAUUUGUCAUUCAGGUUAAGUUGAACCUGUUUGCUGUUGCCGUCUUAUGCAGAACAUUUUUAUUUGCCACCUUGCUGCUUGCAAACUGCAUAAAUUGGGAAGCUGCAUAUUUUGCACAUUUACAACAACUUGUUUAUUGUCUUUGCUUUAUAUCUGAUUUGUAUAAUAGGCUUUCCCACUGUUUGUUUGAGCCUUUGAGGUAUGAAUGAAAUUUCCUGUGGUGUUGCAGUGCAAUGUGCUGAUGCCUGCCUGUUCCCAGGUUUAAGGAGAACUUAAACAAAAUC
RNAcentral lists this long non-coding RNA (3668 nucleotides) under Daphnia pulicaria. Its description in RNAcentral is "uncharacterized LOC124329254, transcript variant X1". The record is from RNAcentral. Lineage: Eukaryota; Metazoa; Arthropoda; Branchiopoda; Diplostraca; Daphniidae.